Puntigrus tetrazona (Sumatra barb) is the source of this 429-nucleotide non-coding RNA. NCBI's taxonomy places the organism in Eukaryota, Metazoa, Chordata, Actinopteri, Cypriniformes, Cyprinidae. The record is from the annotation of a RefSeq genome assembly.
AUGGAUCUUCAUUCAGUUAUUCUGUUCUGUGCUUUAGCAGCUGUUGUCUUUGGAAAUACUAUCAGUCCAGAUACGACAGACGUUAGAGCUGAUGAGGGUCGAAAAGCUACACUGUCCUGCAGUUAUUCCUCCUCUGGGGGGGUAGAUAAUCUCUUCUGGUACCGUCAGUAUGGACGAUCAAAACCUGAGUUUCUUGUUGCCACAUACAGCACUUCAAAGAAGAAAGAGAUAUCUGGCGUAGAUUCAAGAUUUUCUGUUAAUGUUGCAAAAAAGGAAAAAAUCCAUGUGAUUCUGGAGAUCUCCUCUGCUGCUGUAUCAGACUCUGCUCUGUAUUACUGUGCUCUGAGGCCCACAGUCACAGGAAACACAUCAACACUGUACAAAAACCUUCUCUUGUUUAAUCCAGUUAGAAAAAGCAAUAUAUACUGA